UGCGUAGGCGGGUUUCUAAGUCAGAGGUGAAAGCCUGGAGCUCAACUCCAGAACUGCCUUUGAUACUGGAAGUCUUGAGUAUGGCAGAGGUGAGUGGAACUGCGAGCGUAGAGGUGAAAUUCGUAGAUAUUCGCAAGAACACCAGUGGCGAAGGCGGCUCACUGGGCCAUUACUGACGCUGAGGCACGAAAGCGUGGGGGAGCAAACA
RNAcentral lists this ribosomal RNA (208 nucleotides) under uncultured bacterium. Its description in RNAcentral is "partial 16S ribosomal RNA". It matches the Rfam family "Bacterial small subunit ribosomal RNA", at positions 568 to 774 of the family's 1533-position model. The record is from RNAcentral.